UGGAUCCAGACUUUGAUUCUGGCUCAGGAUGAACGCUAGCUACAGGCUUAACACAUGCAAGUCGAGGGGAAACGACAUCGAAAGCUUGCUUUUGAUGGGCGUCGACCGGCGCACGGGUGAGUAACGCGUAUCCAACCUGCCCAUCACUUGGGGAUAACCUUGCGAAAGUAAGACUAAUACCCAAUGACGUCUCUAGAAGACAUCUGAAAGAGAUUAAAGAUUUAUCGGUGAUGGAUGGGGAUGCGUCUGAUUAGCUUGUUGGCGGGGUAACGGCCCACCAAGGCAACGAUCAGUAGGGGUUCUGAGAGGAAGGUCCCCCACAUUGGAACUGAGACACGGUCCAAACUCCUACGGGAGGCAGCAGUGAGGAAUAUUGGUCAAUGGGCGAGAGCCUGAACCAGCCAAGUAGCGUGCAGGAUGACGGCCCUAUGGGUUGUAAACUGCUUUUAUAAGGGAAUAAAGUGAGUCUCGUGAGACUUUUUGCAUGUACCUUAUGAAUAAGGACCGGCUAAUUCCGUGCCAGCAGCCGCGGUAAUACGGAAGGUCCGGGCGUUAUCCGGAUUUAUUGGGUUUAAAGGGAGCGUAGGCCGGAGAUUAAGCGUGUUGUGAAAUGUAGACGCUCAACGUCUGCACUGCAGCGCGAACUGGUUUCCUUGAGUACGCACAAAGUGGGCGGAAUUCGUGGUGUAGCGGUGAAAUGCUUAGAUAUCACGAAGAACUCCGAUUGCGAAGGCAGCUCACUGGAGCGCAACUGACGCUGAAGCUCGAAAGUGCGGGUAUCGAACAGGAUUAGAUACCCUGGUAGUCCGCACGGUAAACGAUGGAUGCCCGCUGUUGGUCUGAAUAGGUCAGCGGCCAAGCGAAAGCAUUAAGCAUCCCACCUGGGGAGUACGCCGGCAACGGUGCAACUCAAAUGAAUUGACGGA
This 926-nucleotide ribosomal RNA is filed under the name uncultured Bacteroidota bacterium. Its description in RNAcentral is "bacterial SSU rRNA". It matches the Rfam family "Bacterial small subunit ribosomal RNA", at positions 1 to 917 of the family's 1533-position model. Lineage: Bacteria; Pseudomonadati; Bacteroidota. The record is from RNAcentral.